GGCUUGUUUAAGUUGCCUGUA
This 21-nucleotide microRNA is filed under the name Callorhinchus milii (elephant shark). RNAcentral's name for it is "Cmi-Mir-1788_5p (mature (guide))". The record is from RNAcentral. Lineage: Eukaryota; Metazoa; Chordata; Chondrichthyes; Chimaeriformes; Callorhinchidae.